RNAcentral lists this long non-coding RNA (334 nucleotides) under Oryza sativa (Asian cultivated rice). RNAcentral describes it as "long non-coding RNA (OSAT_LNC001757)". Lineage: Eukaryota; Viridiplantae; Streptophyta; Magnoliopsida; Poales; Poaceae. The record is from RNAcentral.
CACCCUCCUGCCGCGGCGGCGCCGGCGCACCCCAGCCGGAAUUAGAGCCAUAGCCAUAGGAGGCAGGGGCGCUGCCGCCGCCGCCUCCGGCUACGAUGGCGCCGCCGUUACCAUAGGAAGAGCCGCCGUAGCCGCCGCCGUUGCCGUAGGUAGAGCCGCCGUAGCCGCCGCCGUUGCCGUAGGAAGGGCCGCCGUAGCCGCCGCCGUUGUUGUAGGGGUUGUAGCCGCUGGGGGCGCUGCUGCUGUAGCCCUCGUUGUUGCCGUAGCCGCCGUAGUUGCUGUAGCUCCGGUCUCUCUCGCCGCCGUCGUCGUCGUACUUGUAGCUGCUGCUGCU